Molecule: unclassified non-coding RNA, 336 nt
Filed under: soil metagenome
Description: partial contains 5.8S ribosomal RNA, internal transcribed spacer 2, and large subunit ribosomal RNA
Rfam family: 5.8S ribosomal RNA (bases 1-120)
Source: RNAcentral
GAUGAAGAACGCAGCGAAAUGCGCUAAGUAAUGUGAAUUGCAGAAUUCAGUGAAUCAUCGAAUCUUUGAACGCACAUUGCGCCCGCCAGUAUUCUGGCGGGCAUGCCUGUUCGAGCGUCAUUUCAACCAUCAAGCCCCCGGCUUGUGUUGGGGACCUGCGGCUGCCGCAGGCCCUGAAAAGCAGUGGCGGGCUCGCUGUCACACCGAGCGUAGUAGCAUACAUCUCGCUCUGGGCGUGCUGCGGGUUCCGGCCGUUAAACCACCUUCAUAACCCAAGGUUGACCUCGGAUCAGGUAGGAAGACCCGCUGAACUUAAGCAUAUCAAUAAGCGGAGGA